RNAcentral lists this ribosomal RNA (416 nucleotides) under uncultured bacterium. RNAcentral describes it as "bacterial SSU rRNA". It matches the Rfam family "Bacterial small subunit ribosomal RNA", at positions 355 to 767 of the family's 1533-position model. The record is from RNAcentral.
UGAGGAAUAUUGGUCAAUGGGCGCAAGCCUGAACCAGCCAUCCCGCGUGCAGGAAGACGGCGCUAUGCGUUGUAAACUGCUUUUCCAGGGAGAGAAACUUGCGCACGUGUUGCGCAAUUGACGGUACCCUGGGAAUAAGCAUCGGCUAACUCCGUGCCAGCAGCCGCGGUAAUACGGAGGAUGCGAGCGUUACCCGGAUUCAUUGGGUUUAAAGGGUGCGUAGGCGGACUAUUAAGUCAGUGGUGAAAUCCUGCAGCUUAACUGCAGAACAGCCAUUGAUACUGAUAGUCGUGAGUUUGGUGAAGGUAGGCGGAAUGUGUAAUGUAGCGGUGAAAUGCUUAGAUAUGACACAGAACACCAAUUACGUAGGCAGCUUACUGAGCCGACACUGACGCUGAGGCACGAAAGCGGGGGGA